Molecule: non-coding RNA, 65 nt
Organism: Cricetulus griseus (Chinese hamster)
Lineage: Eukaryota; Metazoa; Chordata; Mammalia; Rodentia; Cricetidae
Source: Rfam
UUUCCAGUCAGGGUCCUGGCUAAUAUCCAGCCUGUAGCUGGAAUUAGUCAAACCCUGACUGUAAA